This 433-nucleotide ribosomal RNA is filed under the name uncultured bacterium. Its description in RNAcentral is "partial 16S ribosomal RNA". It matches the Rfam family "Bacterial small subunit ribosomal RNA", at positions 29 to 507 of the family's 1533-position model. The record is from RNAcentral.
AAUGAACGCUGGCGGCAUGCCUAACACAUGCAAGUCGAACGAGACCUUCGGGUCUUGUGGCGCACGGGUGUGUAACGCGUGGGAACCUGCACUUAGGUUCGGAAUAACUCCCCGAAAGGGGUGCUAAUACCGGAUAAUGUCUUCGGACCAAAGAUUUAUCGAAUUUGGAUGGGCCCGCGUUGGAUUAGCUGGUUGGUAGGGUAAAAGCCUAAUAAGGCGACGAUCCAUAGCUGGUUUGAGAGGAUGAUCAGCCACACUGGGACUAAGACCCGGCCCAGACUCCUACGGGAUGCGGGAAUGGGGGAUAUUGGACAAUGGGCGGAAGGCUGAUCCAGCUAUGCCGCGUGAGUUAUGAAGGCCUUAAAGAAGAAAAGCUCUUUUACCCAGGAUGAUAAUGACGGUACCGGGAGAAUAAGCUCCGGCUAACUCCGUG